CUCCCUCCCGCUGUACCAUCUUCGUCGUAGAUUAAUUCCUGGGUUUACAUGUUUUUAGAAUGAAAUAUUUCGGUUUGUUGGUUUUCGUUGCACGUGGCGUACGACGCUGGUGAAUAUUGCAACGUGUCGUUGUCAUUACACGCUUACCCCCCUUCCCGAAUGGAAAUUCCGUUGACUUGUCAAUGCCAAAAAUUCAAUGUUUUCACGCUCGAAAGCUUGUCGGGUUUUCGACGCUAUAAACAAUUCUGGAUGAAUGUUCUUUUAUAUGCGUAUUAAAUGAGAAUUUAUUGUUUCGCUGGAAGCUUCGGAAUUAAUUGUUUUCAAUUUGCUCCGGUUUAAUGGUCUGAUUUAAAAAAAGUAUUACGAGCGUGUAGUUUGAAUUAUUCGUGUGUUUGAUUGAUUGUCGGUAUGCAUUUAUUAAAUAUAUUAUGAUUUAUGUGAAUGCAGUGAAUUAAUAUGUGUAUUUUACAUUCUUUUUCAGGAUUAAAGUAAAUGUAAAUUAAUCAUGACUAGAGUGCAAUUGAUCCCACAGCUUGAUUAUUUAUGUUAUUUUUACAAUUUUGUUGUCUAAUUACUGUUUUACACUAUCUUUAUUCUGCGUAUUUAUGUUUAUUUUCUGUGAGCAAGUGCAGCAACUUUUGGAGACCACUGUUAGGAAAAUGAUCGUGUUCAAAUUUAAUGUCUGUUGUUAUUUUUCUAUCUGAACAAUUGUUGAAAUGUACUUAAUUAAUUUCUAUUAUAACUGAUUUACAGUUGUUACGUGUAAUUGCCAGUGCAACUGACACUCGUAUGAUUAGUCAUACAAUAUUUUUUGAAAUUUAUUGGUAGCGAUUAAGAUAUAUAAUUUCCUAUAAAAUAAAGAAACAUAAAUUGGCGAGUUAAAUACUGUAUUACAAUAAGUUAUUUUAUGAUGGAAGGAAUAAAUAAUUCAUCAGAGCAAUUUGUGAAAUAAGCAUCUGGGUACAAUAUAACAAGGCUACGGAAAGACACACAAGGAUGCAGCAAGUGUUCGUACUACGCAUUCAAUUCCAGCAGCGUGUGGUCUCUACUAUUUUGAAGUGAAGAUCAUCAGUAAAGGUAGAGAUGGGUAUAUGGGAAUCGGUCUCUCUGCACAUGGAGUCAAUGUGAACAGGCUGCCAGGUUGGGACAAACAUUCGUACGGAUACCAUGGUGACGAUGGGCACAGUUUCUGUUCUUCUGGAACGGGUCAACCUUAUGGGCCAACAUUCACUACUGGCGAUGUAAUUGGUUGCGGUGUGAAUCUUGUCAAUAAUACUGCCUUUUAUACAAAGAAUGGACACCAUCUUGGUAUCGCAUUCACCGAUCUUCCGCCAAAUUUAUAUCCAACAGUGGGACUUCAAACACCAGGAGAAGUAGUAGAUGCAAAUUUCGGGCAAGAACCGUUUGUCUUUGAUAUCGACGAUAUGCUUAACGAACUUCGUGUUAAAACAAGAUUGCAAAUUAUAAAUUAUCCCACACCAGAUCACGGACAGGGCCAGUGGCAAGCAGUUCUCCACAAAAUGGUAUCAACAUAUUUAGUCCAUCACGGUUAUUGUGCCACUGCCGAGGUCUUUGCUAAUAGUACUGGUCAAGUGUUCGAGGAAGAUUUUAACUCCAUAAAAAAUAGACAAAGAAUUCUAAAAUUGGUACUAGCAGGCAGAAUGGGAGAGGCCAUAGAGUUAACGAGUCGACUGUACCCAGGUCUCCUUGAGAGAGACUCAAACCUUCUUUUCGCUUUAAAGUGUCGACAGUUCGUUGAGAUGGUGAACGGUAGUGAUUCUGAGGUCUGUCAGAAUUCCAAUGUUAAUCAAACUAGUGUUAUACAGUCUACAAAAGCUUAUACAAAGUCGUCUACAAAUGGUACUGUCGAGGAGAUGAACAUUAGUAAUGCAAUCAAUGGUUCUACCGAGCAGCAGUUUAUUAACGGGCAAAUUGAGGAUGAUGUAGAUAUGGAAGAGAAUAUUGUAAAUGGCGUGAGAAACAAUAAUGGCUAUCAAAAUGGUGAUUUGAGCACGAAUGGAUACAAGUGUCAGAACGGAGAGGAUGUUGAUAUGGAAGUGGACAAUACUAAUCAAACACAGCAACAACAGAACGGCAGUUGUAGUCCAGAAAACACGUUGAACAAGGGUAACAAGAAACAGCUUUGCGGCGGCGAUAAGCAAGCGAUCGAGAAAAUGUUGGAAUUCGGCAGGCAACUUUACUCUCAGUCGAUACAUUUACGGCAGCAGCAUGGAAAAAGUGAGAGCAAUAAAAAAAUGCUUCAAGACGCGUUCAGUCUGCUCGCUUACGCGAACCCAUGGAAUUCACCGGUUGGAUGGCAGCUCGAUCCCCAAGAAAGGGAAACCGUUUGCGCAAGACUCAAUUCCGCCAUACUUGAAUCGAGUAACUUGCCACGACGACCACCAUUAGAAGUCGCGGCGUCGCAUGCAAAGGAACUCGUACGGCUUAUGUCUCGUGCUGGUCUUGGGGCUUGCGGCUUCGCAGAUGUAGACAAUAUCAUCCAAUAUUGACGGUGCCUACCCCUGCUGCCACGUCUGCUUCUUCUGCCGGCACGAGUUUGGAUGUGGAAACGGAAUUCAGCUAGAGUCUGUUCUACCGGCAGUUGGCUCUCUGGCUCGAUCUCACACGUACACCUAAACACAAACGAAUACAUGUACACGCUCGCGGAACUCACCAAAAAGUACACACUGUUAUGGCAACGGGGAUGGGUGCGAGGAUGAUAAUUAAGCUGGCAUUAACGGUCAAGUUUGUCGAUCGCUGUACGUGUACGCGGCUGAAUUUUAAGCAGCAUAGUCUGGCAAAAUGCAAGGAUCACGUUUCGAUUACGAUCAUACUGUAUAAGUACGGGAAUGUAAGAGUAUAAAGUUCGAAAGGGCGGUGUUCGAAGUCGAGAUCAAAACGAAGGAUGAAGUGAUUGAGCGAUGAGUAUAACGUGAAUGAUAAUUCAGAUCGCAACAUUUCAAUACACGGAAAUUUUUCAUUGACAGUGUAGACGGAUAAAGUACUGCAGGUGUUCCUCUCGGCGAGAUAUAAGGUUGCUGAUUCUAGCUUAAGAGUGUAACAGACGAGAAACAAGGUUGAAGAUGACAAGAAGAUACGAAUACAGUGAAGAAUGAUGUUUCAACACCUACCAACCAAAAUCACCCUUUUCUCGUUUCCUCUUCUUAACUCGGAAGUUUACCACAAUCUCAAGGUUGUUCCCUCGCUCCUUUCAUCUACCAAGCAGAGACCCAUCAUCCUGACCAUAAAACCACCGCUUUCCUCAGGUACGUUUCCAAUCUGGUGUAUUUUUAUUUCAAAAUUCAACUCUUUCUUUGUUGCCAUUGUCUCGUUUCACGGUUAUUACCUUCACUGUACCAGCAAUGAUAAAAACUUCUCUUUCGGAGUCUGUCAAAAAUGAAUCUUGUCAACGAUUGUCCGGUUUCAUCGCAUAUCUUAGACGUUGCUUAACGUUUUAUGGUAACAUCACGUGUCAUCUCGUUAAGUUUGAUCCAAGAAGAAAUUUUAGUUUUAUUUAUUCGUAAUUUCGCUCCGAAUCUCGUGUCGGCUUUCAUCACUAUUACACGCAUACACGCAAACACACGUCCCCCCUCCCCCUCUUCUAUCAUACCACUUCCCCUCAUCGUAGCCUGAUUUUCUCCUCACUUGCUUUUAAAGGGAAAAUUUUCGAAAUGUCCCUGGUCAUCCUUCAUCGGAGUCACUUUUUUAUCGAAUGAAAAAGUAAGGAAAAUCAACGGGAAAAGUCUCGUCGAUAAUUAUUACAUUAUUAAUCCCCGUCGAGUAUUCUGGGUAGCCUUUCUAAUCGUGUCGUCAACGAGUCGAUUUUUGUAUCAAUUGUUAGCUUUUAAAGCGUAAAAGGAAGAAGACGGUAAAAUAAAUAUAAAAGAAUAUUCUUCGAUUACUUGUCAUUAUUGUAUAAUUAACGUAGAGCGAUAAAGGUACCGUUUCAUAGAUGAUACCGUUUAAAUUUCGUUUUACUUUCGAUCACAUAAUCGAUAAAUAACGACGAAGCAAUAAUUAUAAUUUUUAAACGAUCUUUUCUCUUUCUGCCUCUUUUUCUUUGGUAAUUCCAUUUUCUUUCUCUCUCUCUAUCUCUAUCUCUGUCUCUCUUUCUCUUUUUUUAAUACAAAUUUUUACUAUUUUCUAUUGUUACUAAUAUGCUUUCGAGUCCGUCGAUCGGAUGUUUCCUUUUUUUUUAUCUGUCAAGUUAAUCGUAAUCGUCACCGAGCAACUGUUACGUUCUUCCGUUCGAUUUUUCAUUUUGUUUAAGGGAAAAAAAAUGAAGUAUAUAUAUAAAUAUAUAAAUAUAUUGUGCGUUAGUGAUUAUACCGUGUGAUUACGAGGAACUUCAUGAACGAUCGAGUGAUGAAGUCGAAAACUUGAUGAUCCUGAAUGAUUGUAAAAACAAACAAAGUCGAAUAUUAUGACAGUUAUACAAUAAUAAUAAAAGUUGCAUAAUUAAAGAGAACGUUGUAAAAUAAGCGGUGUUUUAUAUUUCUGUCUUUUUCUUCUGUUACGUUUUUGGAACGCCUAUUGUCUUCGCCGAGGAGUUUCGAUUUUAUUUUAGCGUAUUCCAAUAGAGUGGCGACGAGCUUUCGUAGAUUCGUUCGUUUUCAAUAGAUUCGUGACAUUUUUUAUAGGCGACGUGGUACGAGAUUUCGUUCACGUUCUUUUAAGGUGUACAAUUCAAUCGAGAAGUGACCAAACUUUUGCUUUUUGAUGAAGCAGUUUAACCAGAUUUCCUUUCUAUAAAUAAUUCAGAGAAUUCAAAUUGGGCAAAAAUUAGUUUUCUUUAACGACUCUUGCAUUUCAGUUGCACAUGAUGAUCUAAAACUUUAGGUGACUGGCACAGAUCACGAAACGAGGAUUUUGUUCAUUGAAACAAACAUUUAUUGUAUAAAAAAAAAAGCAAAUUUUUGGUGACCGAAUGACGGAAUGACGAAGAAGAAUUUGAAAUGAAACGGUGACGUAAGGAAGCACGAUAUGUGUAUAAUAAUAAUAAUAUUAAUAAUAAUAACUAACAGUACUAAUACUAACGACGAGGAUGAUACAAAAAUGACACUCAAUUAAUUAAAAUGAGCAGAUUAAUAAUAAAAAGGAAUAUAUACACGUAUAUACAUAACUAUAUAUACGUAUUUAUAUGUGUGCGUGUGUACGCAUACGUUUGUGUACUUACGUACGCGUACAUCUAUGUAUAUGUACGAAACAAUCUUGUAUUCUACAAUAAGUAAUUGUUUUUUAUAUGCGAUAUAGUGUAUUAUUAUUAUAAUACGUCAUACGUAUACGUAUGUAUGUAUAUAUGCAUAUGUAUAUAUAUAUAUGUGCGUGUGUACGUAUGCAUCUAUGUAGAGGUAUAUAUAAACAUGUAUAUGUGUAUAAAUGAAAAAAAAAGCAAAGGAAGUAAUCGUAUGAUUAGCGUACGCGUGAGGUUUAAGCUAAAUUUUCAUUAUUUUACGUGUGUGUAUAUUUAUUGGCACAUAUAUCGGUAUGUCUAUAUGUGUGUACUUUUUCGUACAGAAUAGGAUGCGUCACAGUAUGUGUUUGAGUGUCAUUAAUCAAAAAUUGUUCAGUGUUGCAUCAAAUUGUUUUUCGUUCUUUCUUUUUCAAAUUCAAAUCUUCGUUGGAACGAUUGUCGCUCGUGUCAGUAUUUCUUCUAAAUAUUAUCAGUAGUGCCACAUGGUGCCACAUUAGAAAAUGGUACUCCAGUAUCAUGGUGUACUAUAUUAUACUAUGUAUACCAAAAUGGUAUUGUACUAUUGCAGCACCAUUGGUACCAUAUGCUUUACAAUGGUAUCAGUGAUGCACAUGUGAUAGAAUGAUACCCUAGCACUGUGAUAUCGUUGGUAUUCUGUCUACUAGAAUGGUACCCUGUCCCUGUAUUACCAUUGGUACCCAUGAUUAGAAUGGUACCUUAUCACAGUGGUAUCAUUGGUACUCUAAUAUAGUGGAACAGUAUUUCAUCAUUGUGAUAUCACUAAUACUCUAGUAUAGUAGAAUUGACUCAACAAUUAUAAUGUCACUGGCACCCAUGUACUAUAGGGGAUCUCUAUUAUUGUGACACCAUUAGUAGCUCACUAUUAAUAUGGUAGUCUGAGGUGAACUAAAUUGUUUCCAGUAAUGGGUAAUUGAUAAAAAUAGAAUGCACAGGUUCAUGCCCUUUUGAUAUCUAAUUGAAUAGUCUAUAAUUUUCACUUCUCAUAGAUACAUCUCUCCUUCCUUUCUUCUGGUUUCCAAAUGCCCAGGAAAAUCUUUGCUGCCACAGUGAAUAGUUUUGGAAAAGACAGCAUAUGACACUUUAUGUGACUCAUCCUCUAUAUACAGACAUAGAAUAUGUGUGUAUAAAUGUUGAAAAGGGUGUGUGCAUGAGUGGGUGUAUGAAUUCAUUGAUUCCAACAGGUAUUCAAUGGAGAUACUUAACGAUUUUUAGUGUUAAUCGUUUUUCUGUACUAUAG
Molecule: non-coding RNA, 6452 nt
Organism: Nomia melanderi (Alkali bee)
Lineage: Eukaryota; Metazoa; Arthropoda; Insecta; Hymenoptera; Halictidae
Source: RefSeq, a predicted model, not a curated record